Molecule: non-coding RNA, 1109 nt
Organism: Dermacentor albipictus
Lineage: Eukaryota; Metazoa; Arthropoda; Arachnida; Ixodida; Ixodidae
Source: RefSeq, a predicted model, not a curated record
CGUCCCUGUGACCAUGUGACGUGUACAAACAGGCACGCACCAGAACUGUGGAACAGCCGUGGCAUCGGAUCGGAACGUCAUCAGCGUAACUGGUGCCGCCAAGUAGUUUGUUUGCCUCAUCAGUUCACCUGGCGCCACCUUCCGCAGCAGUUCGUGUCAUCGCAGCGCUGUCGCAUUCACCGCCAAGACGACCGCAGCCGCUUAGCGAAGGAGGACGGAAACGCAGGAAUGCGCAGAGUACCAGCGUGAAUGCAGGUUACGGCAGAAACAACUGAACGACGCUGCGUAGCGCGGGGAACUACAGCAACACGCUGCAGACAGACCAGCGCGUUCAACAACGCACUGGCGAGCAGGAAGGCGCGUUGCGAUGCGUAGCAGACGACGCCCGCCGUUCUCGGAGGCUUCCCCAGAUGGCUCUGCCAGUUCCGGCGGAGGAUUCGACGCCGUUCGAUUUUCCUCGAUUGCCGUUGCGGACAGCGUUGCAGUUGGCUCAAGGAUGGGCAACGCACUUUGUAUUGAUACAUCCGUAUUGCGUGUUUCUUGUGGCCGAUGCACGCGGGCGCUCUCCGGCUCUCGGGCUGUCGGCUGAACUGGCCAGCGCUGCAGCUACGCCUUGUAGUCAAGACGCGGCUGAUGAGCCCGACUACUGGUCAUGGGAUGAUGCUGGAAGGCCGCCAGCAGAACCUGAAACGAAUGCUGCCCCAUUACCGACCACCACAGACAGCCGAGAGCUCGUUCACGGUACAACAAGCCCAGAUGCAGUUGUGACAGAGCCAGGUGCUGCCGCAACUUCAAGCUGUCCUGUGCCAGCUGGAACAAGACGCCCCGCGACAAGAAGCAGCCAGAGACAGACGGCGGUCUCCCUUGAACUGGCUACCCGCCUCAGUGCCAUCAAGGAUGACCGUGAAGAAAAAAAAAAGGAACAUUUAUUGAAAAUGAAAUGCAUGCGCCUCGAGCGCAAAUACAAAUCUUUGCAUAGGCGAACUGAACAUGAGCAAACUAUGCAGCUUCUUCGGCUUAAAGAAGCCAACCAAAAAACAAAAGCGGAAAUUCUAAAGCUUCAGCUAGAAGCUUUGAAGAUAAAGUAAACGUCUUUGUUGUUGCUGUGA